This 2519-nucleotide long non-coding RNA is filed under the name Bemisia tabaci. Its description in RNAcentral is "lncRNA ENSASIAIIG012030". Lineage: Eukaryota; Metazoa; Arthropoda; Insecta; Hemiptera; Aleyrodidae. The record is from RNAcentral.
AUGGCUUAUACGUCCUUAGGAAACUCUGCCAUGAUGAGAGACAUCUCUAGCUUCCAAUCGGUCAGUUCGUCCAACGGUUAUAUGGAACUCCACCACGGAAAUGUCCACGUGACGGUCUAUAGUCCGGGUCGACCUCUGGUUGUCGUGUUCCAGGGGAAACAGGCUUUCGUGAACCAAAAACUCGUUAGCAAGAAUACGGACUGUCUAAACGACAAACUGACGUACCAAAAGACCGCCGAUGGGGCAAUCUGGUGCACCAAUCUGCCGGUGGGCGAGAAGAUAACAGGAAUGGAGAUAAAAAAAUUUAACGAAAACAUCUGGAGGAUGAGAGAGGAGAGAGAGAGGGCGCAAGGACUCACCAUGAUGAAGCUCGAGGGUGCAAACAGGACGAGAGUAGAAGCUCUCCAAGGGGCAGAGAGAGCUAGGCAGGCUGCUAUGAGACAGGCUAGGAGAGCUAUGGAGGAAUCAAACAUGGCGAGGGUAGAAGCUCUACAGGGGGCAGAGAGAGCUAGGCAGGCUGCCAUGGGACAGGCUAGAAGAGCUAUGGAGGAAGCGAAUAGGUCGAGGGAGAUAGCUCUCAGAGAAACGGAAAGAACCAGGAGGGCUGCCAUGGAGCAGGCUAGGAGAGGUAUGGAGAUGACCAAUAGUUUCUGGAGGAGAAACUGGUGACAGGGUGUGGUGAGCUCUGACGUUCACGGCCUAAAUGCACGUUUUUCUCCAGGAGAAAGAAAUGGAAAGCGCGAGAAAGAGAAAGAGAAUAGAAAGAAAAAGCGCCAGAGAAAAACGAUGGACGGUGUAAUAAUAAAUGGACACUGAGACAAAUUGUUGUAUUUCAAACGCUACUUAACUCGUAACCAGACCUCCAAAGAAACCACCACAAACUGGCUCUAUAUGUUGAUCUUUAAAUCAAAAUAUAUUCCGAUCUCCCCAUCUCUCGGAUCAGUCCUAAAUUCGAGCAAACAAAAAUGUGUAAACCGCGAUUUUGUGUUUAAAUGUGUCACUAUUCCACUUCUGUAGAAAUUUAAUGUGUAAACCUCAUUCAACUUCAGCAAAUUGAGAAUGCAAGCACGAAGUGCACGCUUCAAAAACAUGUGUGAAAGUAAUGUUUCUUUUCCCAUGGAUCCAUCCUAUUCUUUCAGAGAAAUAAAGAAAAUGUAAAAAAUUUGCGUAUUUUAUUUCCUACAGCAUUUACUCUCGGUAGGAAUACAAUUUUAACCUAAAAAUUUUACCAGCAAGGCUUCUUGGUACAAUACUCAAGAAUAAUUUAAAAGCUGUUGUUUCUUCGUUUAUCGUUACAGAACAGUUAAUCCAGAAUUUCAGAGCUAGUAGCGAUAAUUGAAGUUUUCACCUGGUUUUUUUAAUAGCAAUAUUCCGGUGAUGCAAGCACUUUCCACUUACCGAUAGCGUAAAUUUUGUUUUCUAUCAAGAAGAAAUUGGAUUUUUCCACAUUUUCAAGAUUCUGUUUCGUUUAUUGUAACAAGUAAUAUUGCUGUACAUUCGAUACAUAAGUCGUCUAUUGCGAUUGAUCGGCCCAGCUUUCAUUCAGAAUGAAUUUGAAAUAAACAAAAAAUUAUGACUUUGGCUCCAAUGUCGAUUUUAGAGCACCUCCUUUCCCUAUUUUUCUCUCUAAGAAAUUUUGAAGAAAUAGACCGCAAUCAAAAGUUUCUCGGGUAUUUUGCUUCAUAAUAUGAGCGAUGUGUAUGAAUUGAAGUCUCAACUUUGAUAGCUUACCAAAGAGAAAACUCCAAGGAAAACAAGAAAUACACGAGUUUUUUCGGGUGACAUGAUUAUUCACUUUUUCACAAACUGAGGGCCUCUUAGCACAUACCGGCGCUUUUAUGACGACUCUUAGGCUUCCGCGUGUAAUUAAAUUUUGAAGCUGGCUCGCGAUCCGUUUAGCGUCGUUUUUCAGUGGAAAGUUCGAAGGUGAUAAAAUGGAUAUGUCACGCCAUCUGCUCAAUUGUCGACAGAGAUUUUGACACGUUAUGACUGACUCAUCAAAGAUCAAACGCUAACAGGGACAUUUUGCGACGUGAUCAGAGAUUUAUCACACUAUCCGAUCCGAGGUAAAACAAUGUACGAGUUAGGCUUUUUAAUUAUUCAAAACGUCAAGUCGAAAGUUAGGGGCCGUUCAAGUAUUAUACAUAAGCUACUGUAGGGAUGGGCUGAACAUGCCUUACCGGGUCUUACGAGGGAGACUUGGUCAAGACAAGUCCAGUCUUACAUAAGCCUUAGGUGCAGCUUCAUGUAGUCCUCACUAUCGAUUGCACGAGUAUCGUCUUUGGAGAUUGUGUUUCAUUCCUGACGAGUAUACCCGCCUUUUUUCAAAAACAUUUUCACGACCGUCACACCGUAAUAGGAUAUUUUGUGUAUUAAAAGAGGGGAGAUGUCAGAUAAAAAAAAAUAUCCGUAGUAAAUUUGUAAGCCUGAUACUAAACUUGACCAGGAAAAAAAUGCCUCGAUCAAAAAUAAUCAAGCUGAAUUAUUAGUUUUUUGGAGGCCAAAUUGGACACUUUUCG